GAUCAUGGCUCAGGAUGAACGCUAGCUACAGGCUUAACACAUGCAAGUCGAGGGGAAACGACAUCGAAAGCUUGCUUUUUGAUGGGCGUCGACCGGCGCACGGGUGAGUAACGCGUAUCCAACCUGCCUACCACUUGGGGAUAACCGUUGCGAAAGUAAGACUAAUACCCAAUGACAUCCCACGAAGACAUCUGAAUGGGAUUAAAGAUUUAUCGGUGAUGGAUGGGGAUGCGUCUGAUUAG
This 242-nucleotide ribosomal RNA is filed under the name uncultured bacterium. RNAcentral describes it as "partial 16S ribosomal RNA". It matches the Rfam family "Bacterial small subunit ribosomal RNA", at positions 15 to 244 of the family's 1533-position model. The record is from RNAcentral.